UUUCGGGAAUCGUGUUUGUUCCGCGUGCUGUCCUCUAUCAAAAAUGAUACACUGAAGCUCGAGGAUACAAAAGGGAGGCUGAUGUCUGCAGAGGAACAAACCUCCGCACGAAGCUCACCGGACAAUGUACCAGCGACUUUGAUGACCCCAGUGACUGAGAUCGCUGGAACUGAAACUGUAUCUCUCGAUUAUGUGGAUGUGCAAGAAUGGCUGGACAUUAAUUCACUGGAAGAUGAUGAAGAGGAAGAGUUGGUGGAAAUAACCUGGGAAAGCAUCAUUGGUGUUGUAUUCAUCAUUUUAGAUGUUUACUGGGUCGGUUCCCAUUUGACAAAGUGGAUAAAGAGUUUGGAGAAGAUUUCCACUAAAAGAAAGAGCAACUCUAAAAAGAGGAAGAGACAGCGUAAUAUUUCUUGAAAGUUUACAUGCUUAGGAUGUUUGUGCUUUUAUGACAAUAAAAUAAAUAUACAACAUGAAGCAUCGUGUUCGAAUCUUAUUUUGUCAAUGUAUAUUUCCAUCGGCUGUUUUGGCCUUUAUUGACCCCAAUAUGCAUGCAUAGUUGGUUGGCAGCUGUGUACAUCUCAAAUGUUAUUAACCUUCGAAAUAUUGUCCACCAGGACAGUCUCCAAUGUUAACAAGUAAAAAAAGACAUAAAAUGUCAUAGCCCUCAUUGUUUUAGUUAUUUAGCUGUUUGGACCUAAAGAGCUAAACCCAUAUUUAUAUGAACAACUAAAAUGGCCGCCAGUCUUCCAAUCAGCCAUCAUUGAUCAGAUCACAAAAUAAAGAGAGGGGCACGUGUAUGCCAUCA
RNAcentral lists this long non-coding RNA (805 nucleotides) under Eptatretus burgeri (inshore hagfish). RNAcentral's name for it is "lncRNA (ENSEBUG00000017250.1)". Lineage: Eukaryota; Metazoa; Chordata; Myxini; Myxiniformes; Myxinidae. The record is from RNAcentral.